CCAUGUUUUUUCAGUAUUUGCUUGGUUUACUUUUGCUAUGGUUUGAUGAGAAUAAACACAAGCAAUCAAACAGAAAACAAAAACCGAACGCGUGGGUGGGGUGAUCCUGCAAACCCAAUGUACCUCGAGAGAGUUUUCACACCUC
Caenorhabditis elegans is the source of this 145-nucleotide non-coding RNA. The record is from Ensembl. NCBI's taxonomy places the organism in Eukaryota, Metazoa, Nematoda, Chromadorea, Rhabditida, Rhabditidae.